RNAcentral lists this ribosomal RNA (253 nucleotides) under uncultured bacterium. RNAcentral describes it as "partial 16S ribosomal RNA". It matches the Rfam family "Bacterial small subunit ribosomal RNA", at positions 524 to 776 of the family's 1533-position model. The record is from RNAcentral.
AACGUAGGAGACGAACGUUAUCCGGAGUUACUGGGCGUAAAGGGCGUGUAGGCGGUUUGUUAAGUCUGGCGUGAAAGCUCUCGGCUAAACCGGGAGAGGUCGUUGGAUACUGGCAAACUUGAGGAUGGUAGAGGCGUGUGGAAUUCCGGGUGUAGUGGUGAAAUGCGUAGAGAUCCGGAGGAACACCAGUGGCGAAGGCGACACGCUGGGCCAUACCUGACGCCAAAGCGCGACAGCAUGGGGAGCAAACGGG